GAUGAACGCUGGCGGCGUGCCUAAUACAUGCAAGUCGAGCGAACAGACGAGAGUGCUUGCACUCUCUGACGUUAGCGGCGGACGGGUGAGUAACACGUGGGUAACCUACCUAUAAGACUGGGAUAACUUCGGGAAACCGGAGCUAAUACCGGAUAAUAUUUAGCUUCGCAUGAAGCAAUAGUGAAAGACGGUUCUGCUGUCACUUAUAGAUGGACCCGCGGUGUAUUAGCUAGUUGGUGAGGUAACGGCUCACCAAGGCAACGAUACAUAGCCGACCUGAGAGGGUGAUCGGCCACACUGGGACUGAGACACGGCCCAGACUCCUACGGGAGGCAGCAGUAGGGAAUCUUCCGCAAUGGACGAAAGUCUGACGGAGCAAUGCCGCGUGAGUGAAGAAGGUUUUCGGAUCGUAAAACUCUGUUGUAAGGGAAGAACAAGUACGUUAGUAACUGAACGUACCUUGACGGUACCUGACCAGAAAGCCACGGCUAACUACGUG
RNAcentral lists this ribosomal RNA (499 nucleotides) under uncultured bacterium. RNAcentral describes it as "partial 16S ribosomal RNA". It matches the Rfam family "Bacterial small subunit ribosomal RNA", at positions 28 to 507 of the family's 1533-position model. The record is from RNAcentral.